This 460-nucleotide ribosomal RNA is filed under the name uncultured bacterium. Its description in RNAcentral is "partial 16S ribosomal RNA". It matches the Rfam family "Bacterial small subunit ribosomal RNA", at positions 338 to 795 of the family's 1533-position model. The record is from RNAcentral.
CCUACGGGUGGCUGCAGUGAGGAAUAUUGGUCAAUGGGCGGAAGCCUGAACCAGCCAAGUAGCGUGCAGGAUGACGGCCCUACGGGUUGUAAACUGCUUUUAUACGGGAAUAACGCGCCUUACGUGUAGGGCUUUGCAUGUACCGUAUGAAUAAGGACCGGCUAAUUCCGUGCCAGCAGCCGCGGUAAUACGGAAGGUCCGGGCGUUAUCCGGAUUUAUUGGGUUUAAAGGGAGCGUAGGCCGCAUGUCAAGCGUGCUGUGAAAUGUCCGGGCUCAACCCGGGCCUUGCAGCGCGAACUGGCGUGCUUGAGUCCGCGGAAAGCAGGCGGAAUUCGUCGUGUAGCGGUGAAAUGCUUAGAUAUGACGAAGAACCCCGAUUGCGAAGGCAGCUUACUAAACUGCCACUGACAUUGAUGCUCGAAAGUGUGGGUAUCAAACAGGAUUAGAUACCCCAGUAGUC